UACGUAGGGGGCAAGCGUUAUCCGGAUUUACUGGGUGUAAAGGGAGCGCAGACGGCAAUGCAAGUCUGAUGUGAAACUCUGGGGCUUAACCCCAGACCUGCAUUGGAAACUGUAUAGCUUGAGUAUCGGAGAGGUGAGCGGAAUUCCUGGUGUAGCGGUGAAAUGCGCAGAUAUCAGGAAGAACACCGGCGGCGAAGGCGGCUCACUGGACGACAACUGACGUUGAGGCUCGAAAGCGUGGGUAGCAAAC
This 250-nucleotide ribosomal RNA is filed under the name uncultured prokaryote. RNAcentral's name for it is "partial 16S ribosomal RNA". It matches the Rfam family "Bacterial small subunit ribosomal RNA", at positions 524 to 773 of the family's 1533-position model. The record is from RNAcentral.